Molecule: long non-coding RNA, 623 nt
Organism: Raphanus sativus (radish)
Lineage: Eukaryota; Viridiplantae; Streptophyta; Magnoliopsida; Brassicales; Brassicaceae
Exons: 2
Source: RefSeq, a predicted model, not a curated record
UUCGUUGUGGUUAAAAAAAAAAAGGAAAAUUCGUGGACCACAUACUCUCUCUCUCUCUCUCUCGGAUUCUUUUCUCUGCAACGACUCUGGAAAUUUUCUCUCCCAUUCUCUUCAAACUUUCUCUCCUCCAAACAUCGAAAAUGCAGCAGUUUCCUCCAAACUUUCUCUCCUCCUUUGUUUCUCUACUGUGUAGUAGACUAGCAGUAGAGGCGUGUACAAGAGCUUGAGGCAUUCACAAGUUUCGAGAUCAUUUGGUUUGAUCGUCUGGAUCUCAGCUUGGUGUGGUGAUUAGCUAUUUCACCAUUCUUCCGCUUUAGGUACCAUAGAAAGACGUCUCAGAUUGUCAACAGUGGUGGCGGAUCAAGCAGAAGAAGUGCUCUACUCUUCCGACCAGAGAGAACGGUCCCAACUCUUGCAACAUUUAUGUCUGAUUCACCUGUCAGAUCCUCGAGCAAUGGCAGGCUUUGAUGGUUUUUUUUACCAAGAUGACCAUGUUUGGUCUCUGCUUCUGAGUUUUCUUUGUUUAAUGUUUGGUAACUAAUGAGGAUUAUUAGAUUUUCUCUUGUAAGAAGGUGUUUUAGAGUGUUUGUUUGCUUUUUUUAUUUUUAUUUUUUUAAAUUAAA